UACAGAGGGGGCAAGCGUUGUUCGGAAUUACUGGGCGUAAAGGGCGCGUAGGCGGCCCGCUAAGUCGAACGUGAAAUCCCCGGGCUCAACCCGGGAACUGCGUCCGAUACUGGCGGGCUUGAAUCCGGGAGAGGGAUGCGGAAUUCCAGGUGUAGCGGUGAAAUGCGUAGAUAUCUGGAGGAACACCGGUGGCGAAGGCGGCAUCCUGGACCGGCAUUGACGCUGAGGCGCGGAAGCCAGGGGAGCAAACGGG
This 253-nucleotide ribosomal RNA is filed under the name uncultured bacterium. RNAcentral's name for it is "partial 16S ribosomal RNA". It matches the Rfam family "Bacterial small subunit ribosomal RNA", at positions 524 to 776 of the family's 1533-position model. The record is from RNAcentral.